Molecule: long non-coding RNA, 2603 nt
Organism: Ostrinia nubilalis (European corn borer)
Lineage: Eukaryota; Metazoa; Arthropoda; Insecta; Lepidoptera; Crambidae
Exons: 2
Source: RefSeq, a predicted model, not a curated record
GCGGCGCGCGGCGGCCGGGCGGCGCUGGGCGCGCUGCUGUUCCUCGCCUCCGACGGCCUGCUCGCCUACGGCAUGUUCGGCGGCCCCAUGCGCCACAACCAGCUGUGGGUGAUGUCCACGUACUACAUGGCGCAGAUGGCGCUGGCGCUCAGCGUGCUGGACCCCACGCCCGAGGACUAGGCGCGCCGGACCGCGGCCGCGUGCAGACGCCGCUGCACUUAGAGGACCAUCAGAAAUGAGGAGAAGCGAGCUGGUAAAACAACAAGACGACUGGAGUUCCUAGGUGUCUGCCGACUUUCAAGAUCGGUGUAAGAUUAUUGUUCAUAUGGUAUGGUUGUAAUUCUUCCAUGAUUUAAUCGUUGGUGUUUAUGGUGUUAUACAGGUAGUUAGAUUUUAGUGUAAUGAGUUUGUGUCGUACAUAGUUAAGUAAUUUGUUUGGACAGUAUCGGUAAGAAUGCGGCAAGUGGGAAAGUAUGUAUGCACAAAAGUUGUGGAAGCGGUCUGUGAUAUGCGUCAGUCACUGUCUUCUCAUUAUUUUAAAUACUAAUAAUGUUAUUUUAAAAACAAUAAACUUUGAGGAGUCAUUGAUUUUGGAGUGUUAAGUUCAACAAGAAGAUGCGUGCAAUGGCUCUCGUGUUUGGUAUCGAAUAACCAAUUGGCUCACAAAACAGAGUUGUUAGCGAGUGCCAAAGAAUAUUAAGUCGAGCGUCUGACGCAAAUGUUUGUCUUUCUUCUUGAAAACGUGUAUGUUAUCCGUUUAUGUUGGUAAAUAAUCCAAAAGACUAACUAAGGUCCAUAAGAGGGCUUGUGAUCCAGAAUGAAUCUUUGUAUUUGUGAUAUCAUUAGGUAUAUCCGCCUUUGCUAUUUAGGAAUCCUAUCGACAAUAUCACGUUAACUAAAUACUGUAGGUAAUAUCAUGACAUUUCACAUUACGAAAUGUAUAUUUUACGAAUUUUGUACAUUCCUAUUGUAUUUAAUUUAUCUGACUUACGUGUGCUGACCUUUUGACACGUGGAAGAUGAGCGAGCUUCCGUAACUUACGGAGAACGAAUUCUACAUCUAUUUGUAUAAAACAAACCACUUCAAACGACUAUGUGACGUCAUUGGAAAGUCAAUCCGGCUCAUCAAACAAAUGGUCUCAAGGUAAUGAUAUACAGGGUGGUGACCCGUUGAUGGGCGAUCAUACAAAAGGAUUAAUUCUUUACUCAUGUGCAUGACCAAAAAAUGACGUUCCCAUACUUAAUUGGCUGAUCACUGAUGACAAUUUAUAUCAAAGGGAAUCUUUUUAGAAGAUUUGAACUUCCUUUUUGGAGAUAGACAACUAUCGUAGUUAGUUGUUGCAUUUGAGAAGUAGAAUCUAUCCUUUGUUUGAUCACCCACUAAUGGGUUAUCCUGUAGAAGUCACAACGCACUAAGUGGCUUCAUGUCAAGUGGUCAAAGGUAUAUGCACAUUUAUGUGUAAACUACAUAUUUAUUUUAACUUUGGACUGUUAUUGUAUGAGACGUGGCUGGCCACUGCAAGGCGCUGGCCAGUCACGCGUAACUCGGAGGCGCCUCCGCGCAGCUGCCAACCACAGCCAACCAAGUGUUCGAGACACCAAGACUUAAGUAUUUUUGUAUCAUCAUUUAUGUCAUGUUUCGUCUUUUUGCACAUGUUUUUUUUGGUCUGGAUUAUGAUUCAGCUGUUUAUCUCGUUAGUGUUCCGAAAGAACUGGUACUGUGUCUUCUGAUUUAAGCCCCUACUCCGCUUUGGAUACAUCCCACGCCAUCUGUUUCUAUCCUCACUUCAGUAUACUGAUGUUCAUAGAAAGGCGUAAAACGUUGUACGCGGAGUAUGAUCCUCCUGUUUAGUGACAUGAUCCCUUUUUAUGUGAUUUCACACUAGUAUCUAUCACAGUGACUGGUUAUCGGUUUUCUAAACGACCAUGUUUGUCCAAGAUUGGUAAAUUAGAUUGUCCGAGUACGAGCACAGAGUACCUGACCUUGUUGCGUCUGUGCAGAAAAGAUAUCGGUAUAUUUAGUAUGUACUAUUACAUGUUUAGUAUUAAUAUUGAUUGUUUAUAUGGCUCAUCACAACUAAUAGUGAAUAUCUUUAUAAUGUAGCUCAAGUUCAUUUAUUCGUAAUCGUAAAUAGUAAAGUUGAUGAAGGAGUGCAUAUAAUAUAAAAUUUGAAGAAUCUCCAACAAUGAGCCGGCGUCAUUGUAAUAGUAUAAUAAUAAGGACUUCUAAACAUAUCUGUACACGGUAAAGUUAGCUCAAAAGUAAGAUCUUUACACGCGACAAUACUUUCUCAACUGGGCAGAUGAGGUGAUUACAAAUUAUUGACCCGAAAAAAAAAUCACUUCAUAAUAAGCUCCACUAUACGAGUACAUUGCCCCUGCAUGUGGCGUCUGCGUGUAAGGCUCUAUCAAGUUUUCAAUGCAAGUCGAAACUCUUCUGUAACGCUUACUAUCCUAUAAAAACUUCGUAUUAGUGAUUGUACCUUUUAGAAAGUCUAUUUCAUGUUAUUUUGUGUAAAGUAAGUAAUAUUUUGUUAAAUGUUAUACAUCUAUUGUAUUCCUAGUUAUUAUACCUCAACAUAAAUAAAUAUAUGAUAAUAUUGA